Long non-coding RNA from Canis lupus familiaris (dog), 1139 nucleotides. RefSeq lists it as uncharacterized. The transcript has 4 exons. The record is from RefSeq and is a predicted model, not a curated record. Lineage: Eukaryota; Metazoa; Chordata; Mammalia; Carnivora; Canidae.
CCUUCCUCAUACUACAUCUAUCAAGUCCUGUCAACCACAUUUUAAAAUGUUAUGUGCUUUCCCAGAAUUUACUUAUUUAAUCAUUAUACUGUAGUCCUAGUUCAUUGUCCAACAUUUCUUGAUAUUGAGAAGUCAACUACCAAGGUACCUGUUGUGAAUGGAAAGAUCCAGAACUCUGCCUCCAGUUUGAGCUUUCCCUUCCAGACCUCUACUCUGCUUGCUUUCUUGGCACCUUGCUGCAUUGCCAUAAAAACAAGCUCAGCCCCACAUGCUGGAGGAUGAGGGAAUAUGUGGAGCUGGGAUGAGCCACCCUGGAGGAAGCCACCCUGACCAAGCCAGCAGCUGCCACAGACCCAUGAACGGACCUGGCCAGCACCUGAAGAACCACCUAGCUGAACCCAGAUCAAACUGCUGAGCUGCAGAAAGAAGUCCAAGAUCAAGGUGGCAGCAGAGGUGGUUUGUGGUGAGAACUCUCUUCCUGACUUGCAGAUGGAACCUUCUUGCUGUGUCUUCACAUGACCUUUACUUGGACUGUACCCAACCAUCUGUGGGGUUUAUCUCGUUGGAUCCUUCCAUCAACUCCAUGAAGCAGAGGCAAGUAUUAUCCCAUUUCACAGACGAGGAAGCUGAGGCACUGAGGAGAUUAAGAGACCUACUCAAGAUCACACAGCCAGUGAGUGACACAGUGGGAUUUGAACCUUGGAGACCUGACUUCUUAGGCUGGGGGAGUCUGACCUGGAUUUUGGCCCGCUUCUAAAAUGAACAGGAAAGCAGCAGGGAUGGUGCUAGCAGAAUCGGGCCCGGCAGAGGUUACACACCGUCUCUCACACCCAAGGUCCUGCGGCCACAGCGGAAUUGUCUCCCACCUUCCCCUUGGUCCUCGGAACAGAGACCUCCGAGGGGCUGACGGAGGGGAAGCCUCAGGAACUGCCCCAAUGGCAUUUCCUUCCCGUGUGGCAGGCACAGCCCAAAGAGCCACCCAGGAGUGACACCAGGAGUGGGUUAUCUGGGGCGCCUGCGGGCUCAGUCGGCUAAGCGUCUGCCUUCGGCUCAGGUCAUGAUCCCAGGGUUCUGGGAUCGAGCCCCAUCAGGGCUCCUGAUCAGUGGAGAAUCUGCUUCCCCCUCUCCCUAGCCCCUCC